GCGCGAGAGGAGCGGCCGAUGCCCGAUUAGCUAGUUGGUGGGGUAAAAGCUCACCAAGGCGACGAUCGGUAGCUGGUCUGAGAGGACGACCAGCCACACUGGGACUGAGACACGGCCCAG
This 120-nucleotide ribosomal RNA is filed under the name uncultured bacterium. Its description in RNAcentral is "partial 16S ribosomal RNA". It matches the Rfam family "Bacterial small subunit ribosomal RNA", at positions 215 to 334 of the family's 1533-position model. The record is from RNAcentral.